RNAcentral lists this transfer RNA (72 nucleotides) under Euglena longa. Its description in RNAcentral is "transfer RNA-Thr (UGU)". It matches the Rfam family "tRNA". From Rfam's summary of the family: Transfer RNA (tRNA) molecules are approximately 80 nucleotides in length. Their secondary structure includes four short double-helical elements and three loops (D, anti-codon, and T loops). The record is from RNAcentral. Lineage: Eukaryota; Euglenozoa; Euglenophyceae; Euglenales; Euglenaceae.
GCCUUUUUAGCUCAGUGGUGGAGCAUUGUAUUUGUAAUACAAUGGUCGUUGGUUCAAAUCCAACAAAAGGCU